AGGGCCGCGGUAAUUUGACCGUGCGAAGGUAGCAUAGUCAGUAGUCUUUUAAUUGGAGGCUUGUAUGAAAGGUUGAAUGAGAGAUAAUCUGUCUUUUACUUACGAGUGGAAUUUAACUUUUAGGUGAAAAGGCCUAGAUUUUAUGGUGGGACGAUAAGACCCUAUAAAACUUAAUAUGACCUAUUUAGAGUUAAAGAUUGUGUUUAAAUUGCCUUUAAUUAGUUUAUAUUUCGUUGGGGAAACGUUGAUAUAAGGUGUAAUUGUUUAUUUAUUUUAAUAAUUUUAAUUAGUUUGUGGUCCUUUAUUAGAGAUUAAAAGAUUAAGUUACUUUAGGGAUAACAGCGUAAUUUUCUCUGAGAGUUCUUAUCGACGAGAGUAGUUGCGACCUCGAUGUUGAAUUAAAAUUUCAGUUUGGUGUAGCCGCUUUUCUGGUGGGUCUGUUCGACCUUUAAAAUUUU
Molecule: ribosomal RNA, 458 nt
Filed under: Onycocaridella monodoa
Lineage: Eukaryota; Metazoa; Arthropoda; Malacostraca; Decapoda; Palaemonidae
Description: partial large subunit ribosomal RNA
Rfam family: Bacterial large subunit ribosomal RNA
Source: RNAcentral